GGCUCAGGAUGAACGCUAGCUACAGGCUUAACACAUGCAAGUCGAGGGGCAUCAGGAAGAAAGCUUGCUUUCUUUGCUGGCGACCGGCGCACGGGUGAGUAACACGUAUCCAACCUGCCCUUUACUCGGGGAUAGCCUUUCGAAAGAAAGAUUAAUACCCGAUGGCAUAAUGAUUCCGCAUGGUUUCAUUAUUAAAGGAUUCCGGUAAAGGAUGGGGAUGCGUUCCAUUAGGUUGUUGGUGAGGUAACGGCUCACCAAGCCUUCGAUGGAUAGGGGUUCUGAGAGGAAGGUCCCCCACAUUGGAACUGAGACACGGUCCAAACUCCUACGGGAGGCAGCAGUGAGGAAUAUUGGUCAAUGGGCGCUAGCCUGAACCAGCCAAGUAGCGUGAAGGAUGAAGGCUCUAUGGGUCGUAAACUUCUUUUAUAUAAGAAUAAAGUGCAGUAUGUAUACUGUUUUGUAUGUAUUAUAUGAAUAAGGAUCGGCUAACUCCGUGCCAGCAGCCGCGGUAAUACGGAGGAUCCGAGCGUUAUCCGGAUUUAUUGGGUUUAAAGGGAGCGUAGGUGGACUGGUAAGUCAGUUGUGAAAGUUUGCGGCUCAACCGUAAAAUUGCAGUUGAUACUGUCAGUCUUGAGUACAGUAGAGGUGGGCGGAAUUCGUGGUGUAGCGGUGAAAUGCUUAGAUAUCACGAAGAACUCCGAUUGCGAAGGCAGCUCACUGGACUGCAACUGACACUGAUGCUCGAAAGUGUGGGUAUCAAACAGGAUUAGAUACCCUGGUAGUCCACACAGUAAACGAUGAAUACUCGCUGUUUGCGAUAUACAGUAAGCGGCCAAGCGAAAGCAUUAAGUAUUCCACCUGGGGAGUACGCCGGCAACGGUGAAACUCAAAGGAAUUGACGGGGGCCCGCACAAGCGGAGGAACAUGUGGUUUAAUUCGAUGAUACGCGAGGAACCUUACCCGGGCUUAAAUUGCAGUGGAAUGAUGUGGAAACAUGUCAGUGAGCAAUCACCGCUGUGAAGGUGCUGCAUGGUUGUCGUCAGCUCGUGCCGUGAGGUGUCGGCUUAAGUGCCAUAACGAGCGCAACCCUUAUCUUCAGUUACUAACAGGUCAUGCUGAGGACUCUGGAGAGACUGCCGUCGUAAGAUGUGAGGAAGGUGGGGAUGACGUCAAAUCAGCACGGCCCUUACGUCCGGGGCUACACACGUGUUACAAUGGGGGGUACAGAAGGCAGCUAGCGGGUGACCGUAUGCUAAUCCCAAAAUCCUCUCUCAGUUCGGAUCGAAGUCUGCAACCCGACUUCGUGAAGCUGGAUUCGCUAGUAAUCGCGCAUCAGCCACGGCGCGGUGAAUACGUUCCCGGGCCUUGUACACACCGCCCGUCAAGCCAUGGGAGCCGGGGGUACCUGAAGUACGUAACCGCAAGGAUCGCCCUAGGGUAAAACUGGUGA
This 1450-nucleotide ribosomal RNA is filed under the name uncultured organism. RNAcentral describes it as "SSU rRNA". It matches the Rfam family "Bacterial small subunit ribosomal RNA". The record is from RNAcentral.